RNAcentral lists this ribosomal RNA (384 nucleotides) under uncultured bacterium. Its description in RNAcentral is "bacterial SSU rRNA". It matches the Rfam family "Bacterial small subunit ribosomal RNA", at positions 355 to 755 of the family's 1533-position model. The record is from RNAcentral.
UAGGGAAUAUUGCAAAAUGGGCGAAAGCCCGAUGCAGCAACGCCGCGUGGGCGGUGAAGGCCUUCGGGUCGUAAAGCCCUUUUUGAGGGGAUGAGGAAGGACAGUACCCUCAGAAUAAGCCUCGGCUAACUACGUGCCAGCAGCCGCGGUAAAACGUAGGAGGCGAGCGUUAUCCGGAUUUACUGGGCGUAAAGCGCGUGCAGGCGGAUUGGAGAGUUGGAUGUGAAAGCUCCCGGCUUAACUGGGAGAGGCCGUUCAAUACUUCCAGUCUUGAGUGCAGUAGAGGGAAGUGGAAUUCCGGGUGUAGUAGUGAAAUGCGUAGAGAUCCGGAGGAACACCAGUGGCGAAAGCGGCUUCCUGGACUGUAACUGACGCUCAGACGCG